Molecule: ribosomal RNA, 250 nt
Filed under: uncultured bacterium
Lineage: Bacteria
Description: partial 16S ribosomal RNA
Rfam family: Bacterial small subunit ribosomal RNA
Source: RNAcentral
UAGGGAAUAUUGGUAAUGGGCGAAAGCCUGAACCAGCAACGCCGCGUGUGCGAUGACGGCCUUCGGGUUGUAAAGCACUUUUUCCGGGACGAGGAAGGACGGUACCGGAAGAAUAAGCCUCGGCUAACUACGUGCCAGCAGCCGCGGUAAAACGUAGGAGGCGAGCGUUAUCCGGAUUUACUGGGUGUAAAGCGCGUGCAGGCGGCUCGAUAAGUUGGAUGUGAAAGCUCCUGGCUCAACUGGGAGAGGU